GCGCCAGUGGUUUAGUGGUAAAAUCCAUCGUUGCCAUAAAAAUGCAAUAUCGAUGGGCCCCGCGUUCAAUUCGCGGCUGGCGCA
Molecule: non-coding RNA, 84 nt
Organism: Lasiosphaeris hirsuta
Lineage: Eukaryota; Fungi; Ascomycota; Sordariomycetes; Sordariales; Lasiosphaeriaceae
Source: the annotation of a GenBank genome assembly